Molecule: unclassified non-coding RNA, 680 nt
Filed under: uncultured Prochlorococcus sp.
Lineage: Bacteria; Bacillati; Cyanobacteriota; Cyanophyceae; Synechococcales; Prochlorococcaceae
Description: partial may contain 16S ribosomal RNA, 16S-23S ribosomal RNA intergenic spacer, and 23S ribosomal RNA
Rfam family: Bacterial small subunit ribosomal RNA (bases 1-95)
Source: RNAcentral
CCUUGUGGAGGAGGACGCCGAAGGUGGGGCUAAUGACUGGGGUGAAGUCGUAACAAGGUAGCCGUACCGGAAGGUGCGGCUGGAUCACCUCCUAACAGGGAGACAACAAAAUGUUUAAUAUUAUUAUUUUGUCACCUUAGGUCGAUCGGUAUCUCACAUUCUUAAUUUAUUAAGGAUUUUAUUUCCUAAGUUUUUUCUAGGUCACACCCAUUACUUUUCCUGGGCCAUUAGCUCAGGUGGUUAGAGCGCACCCCUGAUAAGGGUGAGGUCCCUGGUUCAAGUCCAGGAUGGCCCAUAUCUCUAUGUUGGGGGUAUAGCUCAGUUGGUAGAGCGCCUGCUUUGCAAGCAGGAUGUCAGCGGUUCGAGUCCGCUUACCUCCACUGAUUACCACCUCUUCCAUAAUUUUUAUUAAGGAAAUGUUUUGAGUAGUGAUCAAAUUCUGAACGAAUCUAGCUUCCUAAUGAAUUCAUUAAGAUGCUGGACUCAUUGAAUUAUUUUCAUUGUUUUCAGAGAACCUUGACAACUGCAUAGAUUAUUUUUAAAGACAAUAAGCAUCUUUAUGAUGCAGAUUUAUUAUUUGUGCGAAUGCAUUAAUAACAAUUCUAUUAAGCUGAUGCUUCAAUUAUGAAGUUAUUGGUCAAGCUACAAAGGGCUCACGGAGGAUACCUAGGCACACAGAG